GGGGUUGUGGCUCAGGGGCAGAGCACUUACCUGGCAUGUGUGAAGCCCUGGGUUCAAUCCACAGCACCACCU
RNAcentral lists this transfer RNA (72 nucleotides) under Ictidomys tridecemlineatus (thirteen-lined ground squirrel). RNAcentral describes it as "Spermophilus tridecemlineatus (thirteen-lined ground squirrel) tRNA". It matches the Rfam family "tRNA". Rfam says of the family: Transfer RNA (tRNA) molecules are approximately 80 nucleotides in length. Their secondary structure includes four short double-helical elements and three loops (D, anti-codon, and T loops). The record is from Rfam by way of RNAcentral. Lineage: Eukaryota; Metazoa; Chordata; Mammalia; Rodentia; Sciuridae.